CACGGACCAAGGAGUCUAACAUGUACGCGAGUCACAGGGACUCGGCGAGAUACCCAAGGGCGAAAUGAAAGUGAAGGUCGGCCCCGGUCGUCGACCGAGGGAGGAUGGGCCGCGCCGCGCGCGCGGCCCCGCACUCCCGGGGCGUCUCGUUCUCAUCGCGAGAAGAGGCGCACCCAGAGCGUACACGUUGGGACCCGAAAGAUGGUGAACUAUGCCUGGUCAGGACGAAGUCAGGGGAAACCCUGAUGGAGGUCCGUAGCGAUUCUGACGUGCAAAUCGAUCGUCGGAACUGGGUAUAGGGGCGAAAGACUAAUCGAACCAUCUAGUAGCUGGUUCCCUCCGAAGUUUCCCUCAGGAUAGCUGGCACUCGGCCGUUCCGCACGGAACGCGCGCGAGUCUCAUCUGGUAAAGCGAAUGAUUAGAGGCCUUGGGGCCGAAACGACCUCAACCUAUUCUCAAACUUUAAAUGGGUGAGAUCUCUGGCUUUCUUGAAACAUGAAGCCACGAGCUCUCUCGGAUCAGAGUGCCAAGUGGGCCAUUUUUGGUAAGCAGA
RNAcentral lists this ribosomal RNA (553 nucleotides) under Carebara pygmaea. RNAcentral describes it as "partial large subunit ribosomal RNA". It matches the Rfam family "Eukaryotic large subunit ribosomal RNA", at positions 660 to 1148 of the family's 3401-position model. Lineage: Eukaryota; Metazoa; Arthropoda; Insecta; Hymenoptera; Formicidae. The record is from RNAcentral.